Molecule: ribosomal RNA, 271 nt
Filed under: uncultured prokaryote
Description: partial 16S ribosomal RNA
Rfam family: Bacterial small subunit ribosomal RNA
Source: RNAcentral
UACGGAGGAUCCGAGCGUUAUCCGGAUUUAUUGGGUUUAAAGGGUGCGCAGGCGGGAGAUUAAGUCGGCGGUGAAAUUUUGCAGCUCAACUGUAAAAGUGCCUUCGAAACUGGUUUCCUUGAGUGUAGAUGAAGUAGGCGGAAUUUGUGGUGUAGCGGUGAAAUGCAUAGAUAUCACGAGGAACUCCGAUUGCGCAGGCAGCUUACUAAACCAUAACUGACGCUCAGGCACGAAGGCGUGGGGAUCAAACAGGAUUAGAUACCCCGGUAGU